RNAcentral lists this ribosomal RNA (253 nucleotides) under uncultured bacterium. Its description in RNAcentral is "partial 16S ribosomal RNA". It matches the Rfam family "Bacterial small subunit ribosomal RNA", at positions 524 to 776 of the family's 1533-position model. The record is from RNAcentral.
GACAGAGGGUGCGAACGUUGCUCGGAAUUACUGGGCGUAAAGCGCGUGUAGGCGGGUGAUCAAGCCAGGUGUGAAAUCCCUGGGCUCAACCCAGGAACUGCACUUGAAACUGGUUGCCUUGAGUGUUGGAGAGGGAAGCGGAAUUCCUGGUGUAGAGGUGAAAUGCGCAGAUAUCAGGAGGAACACCGGUGGCGAAGGCGGGUCUCUGGGCAGUAACUGACGCUGAGGAGCGAAAGCGUGGGGAGCGAACAGG